Long non-coding RNA from Vicia villosa (hairy vetch), 976 nucleotides. RefSeq lists it as uncharacterized. Lineage: Eukaryota; Viridiplantae; Streptophyta; Magnoliopsida; Fabales; Fabaceae. The transcript has 6 exons. The record is from RefSeq and is a predicted model, not a curated record.
CAUUACUAGGGUUUUGAGUUCAUUUUCCUUCUUCUUCGACAUUCCGCCGCCCCCCUCCUCUCAUCUGUUCAACUUCAACCUUUUAGAAAAAUAGUACUUCCACCACAAUAUUCAACCUUUGAUGUCUUCAUCAUCGCCACAUUCAUAUCUCCUGCUCAAUCUCUUCUCCUAAUGUUACCCUUACUCACAUAUUAGUUUUCAAACCCAAACCCUAACCCCCAAAUUCAUAAAAGAUCGCAAUGAAACACUUGAAGAACAUCUUCCUACUAUUUGUCUAGAAGCUAUAGGAGGGACAUCACUGAAUGAAGCAAGCUCUAUAUCUCAUCAGAUUCUCAAAUUGGUUAAUAUGCAAUCUCACCUAAUAUAAACAUGAUGUAAAGAGGGUAUUCUUGGAAGGAAAUCCUUACCUCCUAGGAAUUACCAUGAUUGUUUCUCUUCAGUCAGUAUUUGACUUUCUGGCUUUUAAGAGUGGUGAACAUGGUGGCUAAAUAUAGAUGCAAGUGAGAAACUGUGAGUUUGUUGUAGAUUUGAAACUUGCUUCUUUGGCCAUGGUGAAUCUGUUGAAGAUAAAAAAUGGAAUGAAAUAGCAAAUGGAGAAAAAGUGUAUGGAACUUGUUGAAGAUAUUAUGAAGGUGCGUAUCGAGGAAGACAUUGAGAGCUUUUUCAGUGUUAUAUUUUAUAUUACCUUCAUAUUGAGCAUGGCUGUUUUGUUUCAGGUGUGAAAUAAAGAAGGCUGUUUUGUUUCAGGUGUGAAAUAAAGAUCCAUGUUUAAUCAUGUCAUUAAUUUUUUAAAAGUCAUUAAUUUUUUUAAAGUUGGGUAAUAGUAUUGAUUUUCUUUUAAUUUCACUAAAGACUGACUUCAAUGUCUUGUUUAAAGAUGUUGCUGCAAUGAAAAAAUGGAGUAAAUUUUAGAGAAAGAGCAUUGUUAAGUUUUUUUUUUUUAAAUUUUCUGAUAAAUUUUCUUCUCUAAGUUCUU